GAUGAACGCUGGCGGCGUGCCUAAUACAUGCAAGUCGAGCGAACAGACGAGGAGAUUGCUCCUCUGACGUUAGCGGCGGACGGGUGAGUAACACGUGGAUAACCUACCUAUAAGACUGGGAUAACUUCGGGAAACCGGAGCUAAUACCGGAUAAUAUAUUGAACCGCAUGGUUCAAUAGUCAAAGACGGUUUUGCUGUCACUUAUAGAUGGAUCCGCGCCGCAUUAGCUAGUCGGUAAGGUAACGGCUUACCAAGGCAACGAUGCGUAGCCGACCUGGGAGUGUAGUCGGCGACACGCGAGCUGAGCAUCGGUCCAGGCUCCUACAGAAGGCAGAAGUAGAGAAUUUUCCACAAUGGGCGAAAGACUGACGGAACGGAGCCGCGUGAGUGAUGAAGGUCUUCGGAUCGUAAAGCUGUGUUAUAAGGGAAGAACAAAUGUGUAAGUAACAAUAGACAUCUUGACGGUACCUAUACAGAAAGCCACGGCUAAAUACGUG
RNAcentral lists this ribosomal RNA (497 nucleotides) under uncultured bacterium. Its description in RNAcentral is "partial 16S ribosomal RNA". It matches the Rfam family "Bacterial small subunit ribosomal RNA", at positions 28 to 507 of the family's 1533-position model. The record is from RNAcentral.